Molecule: ribosomal RNA, 546 nt
Filed under: Triticum aestivum (bread wheat)
Lineage: Eukaryota; Viridiplantae; Streptophyta; Magnoliopsida; Poales; Poaceae
Description: partial small subunit ribosomal RNA
Source: RNAcentral
UGUAGUCAGAGUGCGCGUAGGAAGUUGUAUUGGCGUUACCUAUAAAACAAGACAUGCAUGCUCAGAGAGAACACACAUGAGAAGCUGUGACAGGAAGGAGAACGCAUCAUGAAGCGUUCCACUUCCACUUCAACUCCAUCUUCGUCCUUGUUGCUCUUGACGGAAGCCAUGAGCCAACGAGUCCUCCGCCGCCGGUGCCAGGUCCCCAGAUGUCUCCGUCUCCAGUUCCAAUGCCUCCGGUCCAUCCUCCGCCGCCACCGCCGCCCAUGCCGGAGAUGUCAGCACUGGCGCCGCACCGCAAGACCCUGCAGCAAGCUGUCAGGGACGCCAUUUAAUUAUGCAUGAAACAGUGCUGCUCAUAUAUUAUUUUCGUCUAUGUAUGAUCUAUCAUGGUCCUAAGUAAUUGAGACGAUAAAUAAUGAUAUUAGCGUACAUAUGUACUCUCUUCAUUUUUUUUACUUCACGUAUAAAAUUUGGUCAAAGUCAAACUAUACAAAGUUUGACCAAAUUUAUAUAAAAGAAUUAUGAAUAUCUGCAAUACUAAAA